This 505-nucleotide ribosomal RNA is filed under the name uncultured bacterium. RNAcentral describes it as "bacterial SSU rRNA". It matches the Rfam family "Bacterial small subunit ribosomal RNA", at positions 28 to 511 of the family's 1533-position model. The record is from RNAcentral.
GAUGAACGCUAGCGGCAGGCUUAAUACAUGCAAGUUGAGGGGCAGCAUGAUAUACGCGAGUAUAUUGAUGGCGACCGGCGGACGGGUGAGUAAUAGGUAGGAGACCUACCUCAUACAGGGGGAUAGCAUAGAGAAAUCUGUGGUAAUACCCCAUGAGGUUAUAUGAAUAGAGGCAUAUAAUCAAAGCAUAAGCGAUUAUGCGGUAUGAGAGGGGCCUACUGACCAUUAGCUAGUUGGUGAGGUAAGGGCUCACCAAGGCGAAGAUGGUUAGGGGUUUUGAGAGAGAGACCCCCCACAUUGGAACUGAGAGACGGUCCAGACUCCUACGGGAGGCAGCAGUAGGGAAUAUUGGGCAAUGGGCGAAAGCCUGACCCAGCCAUGCCGCGUGAAGGAAGACGGCCUUAUGGGUUGUAAACUUCUUUACUACGCGAAUAGAGGUUAGUACGAGAAUACUAAAUAGGAAGGUAGUGUAAGUAAAAAAGCAACCGGCUAAACUCCGUGACCC